This 1400-nucleotide ribosomal RNA is filed under the name Staphylococcus saprophyticus. Its description in RNAcentral is "bacterial SSU rRNA". It matches the Rfam family "Bacterial small subunit ribosomal RNA". Lineage: Bacteria; Bacillati; Bacillota; Bacilli; Caryophanales; Staphylococcaceae. The record is from RNAcentral.
UGCAGUCGAGCGAACAGAUAAGGAGCUUGCUCCUUUGACGUUAGCGGCGGACGGGUGAGUAACACGUGGGUAACCUACCUAUAAGACUGGGAUAACUUCGGGAAACCGGAGCUAAUACCGGAUAACAUUUGGAACCGCAUGGUUCUAAAGUGAAAGAUGGUUUUGCUAUCACUUAUAGAUGGACCCGCGCCGUAUUAGCUAGUUGGUAAGGUAACGGCUUACCAAGGCGACGAUACGUAGCCGACCUGAGAGGGUGAUCGGCCACACUGGAACUGAGACACGGUCCAGACUCCUACGGGAGGCAGCAGUAGGGAAUCUUCCGCAAUGGGCGAAAGCCUGACGGAGCAACGCCGCGUGAGUGAUGAAGGGUUUCGGCUCGUAAAACUCUGUUAUUAGGGAAGAACAAACGUGUAAGUAACUGUGCACGUCUUGACGGUACCUAAUCAGAAAGCCACGGCUAACUACGUGCCAGCAGCCGCGGUAAUACGUAGGUGGCAAGCGUUAUCCGGAAUUAUUGGGCGUAAAGCGCGCGUAGGCGGUUUCUUAAGUCUGAUGUGAAAGCCCACGGCUCAACCGUGGAGGGUCAUUGGAAACUGGGAAACUUGAGUGCAGAAGAGGAAAGUGGAAUUCCAUGUGUAGCGGUGAAAUGCGCAGAGAUAUGGAGGAACACCAGUGGCGAAGGCGACUUUCUGGUCUGUAACUGACGCUGAUGUGCGAAAGCGUGGGGAUCAAACAGGAUUAGAUACCCUGGUAGUCCACGCCGUAAACGAUGAGUGCUAAGUGUUAGGGGGUUUCCGCCCCUUAGUGCUGCAGCUAACGCAUUAAGCACUCCGCCUGGGGAGUACGACCGCAAGGUUGAAACUCAAAGGAAUUGACGGGGACCCGCACAAGCGGUGGAGCAUGUGGUUUAAUUCGAAGCAACGCGAAGAACCUUACCAAAUCUUGACAUCCUUUGAAAACUCUAGAGAUAGAGCCUUCCCCUUCGGGGGACAAAGUGACAGGUGGUGCAUGGUUGUCGUCAGCUCGUGUCGUGAGAUGUUGGGUUAAGUCCCGCAACGAGCGCAACCCUUAAGCUUAGUUGCCAUCAUUAAGUUGGGCACUCUAGGUUGACUGCCGGUGACAAACCGGAGGAAGGUGGGGAUGACGUCAAAUCAUCAUGCCCCUUAUGAUUUGGGCUACACACGUGCUACAAUGGACAAUACAAAGGGCAGCUAAACCGCGAGGUCAUGCAAAUCCCAUAAAGUUGUUCUCAGUUCGGAUUGUAGUCUGCAACUCGACUACAUGAAGCUGGAAUCGCUAGUAAUCGUAGAUCAGCAUGCUACGGUGAAUACGUUCCCGGGUCUUGUACACACCGCCCGUCACACCACGAGAGUUUGUAACACCCGAAGCCGGUGGAGUAA